This 28-nucleotide non-coding RNA is filed under the name Bombyx mori (domestic silkworm). The record is from RNAcentral. Lineage: Eukaryota; Metazoa; Arthropoda; Insecta; Lepidoptera; Bombycidae.
UACCCCAAGGGCAUUAUGCGACUCCUCC